Molecule: transfer RNA, 77 nt
Filed under: Planctomycetota bacterium
Lineage: Bacteria; Pseudomonadati; Planctomycetota
Description: tRNA-Val
Rfam family: tRNA
About the family: Transfer RNA (tRNA) molecules are approximately 80 nucleotides in length. Their secondary structure includes four short double-helical elements and three loops (D, anti-codon, and T loops). Further hydrogen bonds mediate the characteristic L-shaped molecular structure. tRNAs have two regions of fundamental functional importance: the anti-codon, which is responsible for specific mRNA codon recognition, and the 3' end, to which the tRNAs corresponding amino acid is attached (by aminoacyl-tRNA synthetases). tRNAs cope with the degeneracy of the genetic code in two manners: having more than one tRNA (with a specific anti-codon) for a particular amino acid; and 'wobble' base-pairing, i.e. permitting non-standard base-pairing at the 3rd anti-codon position.
Source: RNAcentral
GGGCGAUUAGCUCAGCCGGCCAGAGCACCCGCCUUACACGCGGGCUGUCGCAGGUUCGAAUCCUGCAUCGCCCACCA